CCACCAUAUUUUCCUCCGCUAGUAUUGCAACCCGCCGUCUCCCCACUUACUCCCACCAUAAUUUUCUCCUCCUCUACUUCUUAUGGUGGCUUCUCCUCUUGCAUUAACCUUUCCAACGUCUCUCCCACCUCCUCUGCAAAUUUUUAUUUUUCUAGUAAGCUUCAUGUGUUAUGUUUUGUUGGUGUAUCAUUUUUAUGAACCAAUUGGUUUAUAUUUAUUGAUCAAGACUGAGAAAUUACGAGCAACAACAUAUCAAUACUAUAUUUUUAUAAUCGACAAAGACCAAGAAGGUAGUAAAUAUUGUGAACAGAGUGCACCAUUUGGAUAAAGAAUGUAGUAUAGUAUAGUGUAUGAUAUUAAGUUUUAAAUUAGAAAAGAUGGACAACGAUAGUGCCACAUGCUCCUCUGUAAAUCAUAUGUCCUCCUACUAUAUAUGAUUUUUAUCUUUUACCUUUGGAAAAAAUAACAGUUCAAAUUGAAAUGUAGUAUUUUCUUUUGUAAUAUUCGUUUGAGAACAAUGAAUAUAAAUGAAUCUUUAGAAUCUUUUUCUCCUCCUUCUCCCCUCCUCCUCCUCCUCCUCAUCCUCCCCUUCCCCUUCCCAUCCCCCUCACCCCUCCCCGCCCCGCCUCCUCCUCA
This 636-nucleotide long non-coding RNA is filed under the name Brassica napus (rape). RNAcentral's name for it is "long non-coding RNA (BNAP_LNC011423)". The record is from RNAcentral. Lineage: Eukaryota; Viridiplantae; Streptophyta; Magnoliopsida; Brassicales; Brassicaceae.